Molecule: ribosomal RNA, 520 nt
Filed under: Leptoxis ampla
Lineage: Eukaryota; Metazoa; Mollusca; Gastropoda; Pleuroceridae
Description: partial 16S ribosomal RNA
Rfam family: Bacterial large subunit ribosomal RNA
Source: RNAcentral
AAACAUGGCUCUUUGAAUUAUUUUUAUAGGGAGUCAGGCCUGCCCAGUGAAAUUUACUUUAACGGCCGCGGUACUCUGACCGUGCAAAGGUAGCAUAAUCAUUUGCCUUAUAAUUGAAGGCUAGUAUGAAUGGUUUAACGAGAGCAGCACUGUCUCUUUUUUAUUUUCAAGAACUUAACCUUUAGGUGAAGAGGCCUAAAUUUUAUUGAAGGACAAGAAGACCCUGUCGAGCUUAAAAGACACUAUAGAAGUUUAUAUAUACCUAAAUAAAUUUUCUGUUAAGCUUUUUAGUUGGGGCGACUAAGGAACAAAAAAAGCUUCUUAAGCAAAACAAACAUUCAAGUUUUGAUCCGGCGAUAGCCGAUUUAAGGAAUUAGUUACCGCAGGGAUAACAGCAUAAUCUCUCUUGAGAGACCUAAUCGAAAGAGGGGGUUGUGACCUCGAUGUUGGACUAGAAUAUCCUAAAGAUGCAGAAGUCUUUAAGGGUCGGUCUGUUCGACCGUUAAAAUUUUACGUGAUC